AUUAAACGCUGGCGGCAUACCUUACACAUGCAAGUCGAACGGCAGCACGGGGGCAACCCUGGUGGCGAGUGGCGAACGGGUGAGUAAAGCAUCGGAACGUGCCCUGGAGUGGGGGAUAACGUAGCGAAAGUUACGCUAAUACCGCAUAUUCUGUGAGCAGGAAAGCAGGGGAUCGCAAGACCUUGCGCUCUGGGAGCGGCCGAUGUCGGAUUAGCUAGUUGGUGGGGUAAAGGCCUACCAAGGCGACGAUCCGUAGCGGGUCUGAGAGGAUGAUCCGCCACACUGGGACUGAGACACGGCCCAGACUCCUACGGGAGGCAGCAGUGGGGAAUUUUUGGACAAUGGGCGAAAGCCUGAUCCAACCAUGCCGCGUGAGUGAAGAAGGCCUC
Molecule: ribosomal RNA, 389 nt
Filed under: uncultured bacterium
Lineage: Bacteria
Description: bacterial SSU rRNA
Rfam family: Bacterial small subunit ribosomal RNA
Source: RNAcentral